AUGCUACUGGGGGAGCCGAAGCUCCCCCAAAGUGCGUGCUCUUAUUUUUAUUGUCUGAUGGGCUUUUUAUUGUUGUUGACCGCCCAAUUCACGGCUUUCGCCUGUGAAACCUCCCAAUCGGGAGUCAAGAGCAAACGGAUUGCUUUGGUCGCUGUGCGGCAGUGAUCUAUCGAUCCAACCAGUUCAGGCUCUACCUAAGGGUAGUU
This 206-nucleotide non-coding RNA is filed under the name Pseudomonas graminis. The record is from RNAcentral. Lineage: Bacteria; Pseudomonadati; Pseudomonadota; Gammaproteobacteria; Pseudomonadales; Pseudomonadaceae.